This 864-nucleotide small RNA is filed under the name Pongo abelii (Sumatran orangutan). RNAcentral describes it as "retained intron". Lineage: Eukaryota; Metazoa; Chordata; Mammalia; Primates; Hominidae. The record is from RNAcentral.
CUGGGACUGGUGUACCGUGAGAAGAGUGGAAAGUAAAGAGGCUGGCUUUGAAAAUGUGUCUUCUCAGAGGCUGCCCCUACUCCCUAUUGCCAUUCAGCUGCAUUCCAUCGUCCUCUUCCUCACUGGUCGCUUUUUAUACCACAUCAAAAGGGGGCUGAGCUCUGGGACCAGGAACUGAGACGCCUCUGGACACGCACCAGCAGCAGCGGGUGCAGUGAGGGCUGGCUAGCUUCUCCCGAGUCUCCUUAAACACCCAGCCAUGGCCAGGGGCUUGUUGAGGUUAACGAGUUUCUGUUUAGUCUGCUUCUAGUCUUGUGUAUUUUCUCUGGAGUGUUGUUUUUGCAGUGCAGGGUGAGUCGGUGUGGGUGUUUGAAUGCUGCUGUUUGCUGUUUUUUAAAGGCCUUCUAGCCCUCCCAUGGGGUUGCUGCAGCAGGAAUUCUUACCUGUGCUUCAGCCCAGCAUACAGACUGCUGACAGGCACCACACGGUAACUCGAGGCAUCACCAAAGGCGUGAAGGAGGACUUUCGCCUGGCCAUGGAGCGCCAGGUCUCCCGCUGUGGAGAGAAUCUGAUGGUGGUUCUGCACAGAUUCUGCAUUAACGAGAAGAUCUUGCUCCUUCAGACUCUGACCUGAGUGGAGACCUUUCCACCAGACACAGCUCAGGGCUGUGUAAUUGUAGGAGAAGACACUCAGCAGUGAUUGACGUGGCACACAGCCAUGGUCAUUGUUGCUGUUACAAAGAAGAAAACCAUCUGAGUUCUAACUCCUUGGUUGCUUAAAAGUAGUUCCCAAGAGUCUGAGAAGCUAUUUCUAUUUUUAAGAGUCAUUUUUUGUAAUUUUUGUAAAACAAAAGACCCAAUCUG